Non-coding RNA from Triticum aestivum (bread wheat), 138 nucleotides. The record is from Rfam. NCBI's taxonomy places the organism in Eukaryota, Viridiplantae, Streptophyta, Magnoliopsida, Poales, Poaceae.
GGAGUACUCCCUCCGUCCCAAAAUUCUUGUCUUAGAUUAGUCUACUAGAUACGGAUGUAUCUAAUACUAAAAUGUGACUUGAUACAUCCGUAUUUAGACAAAUCUAAGACAAGAAUUUUGGGACGGAGGGAGUACUUC